UACAGAGGGUGCAAGCGUUAAUCGGAAUUACUGGGCGUAAAGCGCGCGUAGGCGGCUGCCUAAGUCGGGUGUGAAAGCCCCGGGCUCAACCUGGGAACUGCACUCGAUACUGGGCGGCUAGAGUAUGAGAGAGGGAGGUAGAAUUCCACGUGUAGCGGUGAAAUGCGUAGAUAUGUGGAGGAAUACCGGUGGCGAAGGCGGCCUCCUGGUUCAAUACUGACGCUGAGGUGCGAAAGCGUGGGGAGCAAACAGGAUUAGAAACCCCCGUAGUCC
RNAcentral lists this ribosomal RNA (273 nucleotides) under uncultured bacterium. Its description in RNAcentral is "partial 16S ribosomal RNA". It matches the Rfam family "Bacterial small subunit ribosomal RNA", at positions 524 to 796 of the family's 1533-position model. The record is from RNAcentral.